Molecule: non-coding RNA, 1776 nt
Organism: Ictidomys tridecemlineatus (thirteen-lined ground squirrel)
Lineage: Eukaryota; Metazoa; Chordata; Mammalia; Rodentia; Sciuridae
Source: RefSeq, a predicted model, not a curated record
GAGCCGGGUGCCCCCCUCCCACCCACUCCUCCCGGCGGCGCGGACCUCUCCCGCGGAGCCCUGGGUCUGCAUUCCUUUGCGUUUACCACGGACUUGGGGCGGGAUCAAAGGGAAAGUGGCCCGAGCCUGUUUAAUCAAGGGCUUGUGGACCGAAACCAAGCCUGAGGUGGCGGAGGGCACGCGGGUGAGGGGCCGAGGACGAAAAAGGGUCGUUCCUGGGCGCUGCGCCUUCCCUCCAGCAGGGCGCGGAGCCUCAGGCACCGGGAGGGCUGCACUGACCCGCAGUUCUGGCAGAGGUCAGGCCAGACUGCGCCCGGCGCGGGGAGACACCGAGAAGGCCAGCCUUUCUUCGGGAGGCUGCUUAGCGCUUGUGACCAUAUUUGGUCUGGUGAGAAGGCAUCUUGGCUGCUUGGCCUUCAAUUGUCUGCUAGAGCGCAGACGGUGCCCAGAAAGUGCCUCUGUUGCCGGAGGCGCAGCUUCGCCCACGGGUGGGUUGUAAACAACCUUCAAAUCAUUCACCAAUCCUUCAUUUCCUCCACGGGGUGAAGGGCCAGAAGGGGUAAAGAAGAAACUGGAUCAAAGCUGGGUGCUGGAAGGGGAGAGCAGUUGCGCCCUCCUCCCCCCGCGACAUCCGCGCGGGUAGUGGGAGGAUUGGAAUGUCCCUGACGCCCUCCAGGGAGCCAGGAUGGAACACAGGCAGGUGGCUGGGAGUAGAGAGGGUGCGCCAGUGACCCGGAAAAAGCCACCCACCCUCCCACUGCCUGGAUAAGGGCAAGGGGAAGACCCCCGCCUCGGGGAGGAGGUCUGGCCUGGAGAGACAGCUGCGGGGAAGUGGGAGGCGGCCUCGCCCUCCGCAGCAGCUCAAUUCCUUCCCUCCCUCGUCCCUUUUCCCUUACCCGAAAAGAAGAGAUGGCUGCAAGAGAACACAGCAGUCGCAACAUGAGGAAAUGAGCUAUGGAACUGGAGGCCAGCCAUGACUAGGAGCAGAUGGUCACUAAUUCAGAAGCUGUGGGACUGAUUUGAUGGUGAAAGGAUGGAAACUUGAGACCUUGCCUGCUCUAGGAAGGCCUUCACUGCAGAAGGAAGGCUGACUGGAGACACCUCUGCAACCUCCCUACCAAAUAGCAGCAGAACACAGCAAGCCCUGCCCAGAGGGCAGAAUCGUGAGCAAAUAAAAUAGGUCACUCUGACCCUCCACAUCCAAUGGUGUCACUUCUGCAGAUGCCAACAGGCAGUCUGGGACACAGCUCAAGUCUUCACUCCCAAGCUCCAGGACCCGAGAUCACAGCAGACUGGGGUGCCGCCAACGUGCCUUCAGAGUGACACUGACCCGGAGAAGGAGACCAGAGGGCUGGGAGUCGGAAGUCCUGGCCACCACACUCCUCCCUGCCUCCCUGGGACAGAGUGGCCUCAGCACCUCCCAGCCAGGGGGCAAUGGUUCUUCCAGCCUGCUGGUCCCUGGACACAGGAGUCUCAAGUACCUAGGUGGCCUUCGUAGGCCAUAGUGCACUGGUACCCCUGCUGUGUCCUGUUGCAAGAGUCCAGAGUGAGGCUGACUUGCUUCUAGCCCUUUGUUUGGGACCCAUCCUUCCUCCCAUCAAUGGCAUGGCCUCGCAGCAAGGUCCCUAUAGAAGGUAGCACUGCUCCCUGAAGCCAGGACCUCACCUGCACAGCAUGCCUGCUACAGCUCUGCCUCAGCCACCUCCACUGUCCACACUACCCACGCCUUGUCCAUGGCUUCUGGGGGGUGGCCUUCACACCUUGUGCUCCCACCCA